Non-coding RNA from Pantherophis guttatus, 250 nucleotides. The record is from RefSeq and is a predicted model, not a curated record. NCBI's taxonomy places the organism in Eukaryota, Metazoa, Chordata, Lepidosauria, Squamata, Colubridae.
AUGUUUACGUUGCCUCGCUUCCACCUCCCCCACCCUGACUGAAGAAGAAGAAGCAGCAAAGCAUUCUUAGAAGUCUUAACUUACAGAUUUGGAGAAAAUGUCAGCUUGACAGAGCCAUAAGGAAGCAGUGAUUGGAGUGAUGCACCUAGGAAAACAGGAUAGUUUUUCAGACAAAGCACUGAGGUACAGAUCUGGAACUACACCAGGACCGCAUGGCUGGACCUUAAGUACCCCCUGGGCGUGGCUAAGG